Molecule: ribosomal RNA, 482 nt
Filed under: uncultured Campylobacter sp.
Lineage: Bacteria; Pseudomonadati; Campylobacterota; Epsilonproteobacteria; Campylobacterales; Campylobacteraceae
Description: bacterial SSU rRNA
Rfam family: Bacterial small subunit ribosomal RNA
Source: RNAcentral
AGAGUUUGAUCCUGGCUCAGAGUGAACGCUGGCGGCGUGCCUAAUACAUGCAAGUCGAACGGAGAUUAAGUAGCUUGCUAUUUAAUCUUAGUGGCGCACGGGUGAGUAAUAUAUAGCUAACUUGCCCAUUACUAAGGGACAACAGUUGGAAACGACUGCUAAUACCUUAUACUCCGUAUCUAUAUAAGUAGAUACGGGAAAGUUUUUCGGUAAUGGAUAGGGCUAUAUCGUAUCAGCUAGUUGGUAAGGUAAUGGCUUACCAAGGCUAUGACGCGUAACUGGUCUGAGAGGAUGAUCAGUCACACUGGAACUGAGACACGGUCCAGACUCCUACGGGAGGCAGCAGUAGGGAAUAUUGCUCAAUGGGGGAAACCCUGAAGCAGCAACGCCGCGUGGAGGAUGACACUUUUCGGAGCGUAAACUCCUUUUCUUGGGAAAGAAUUAUGACGGUACCCAAGGAAUAAGCACCGGCUAACUCCGUG